This 345-nucleotide ribosomal RNA is filed under the name Triticum aestivum (bread wheat). Its description in RNAcentral is "partial small subunit ribosomal RNA". The record is from RNAcentral. Lineage: Eukaryota; Viridiplantae; Streptophyta; Magnoliopsida; Poales; Poaceae.
AUGUCUAGCGCUAAACCUAGCGAGAUUGAUCCAUUUGACGCUGUCUACUCAAACAUUCCAGACCGCACUCACAUCCUGAAACUUGACGAAGAUUGCAAACACUGCAAUGCCAGGAAGUUUGAGUCUGAGACUGAUGGCUUCUGCUGUCGCAAUGGCCAGAUCCAGCUUAAGCAGCCGGAACCAAUCCCAGAGCUUAUGAGGCUAUGGUCCAGCAUGGAUGCAGAUUCUAAACAUUUUCGGGAUAACAUACGGUUCUUCAACGGGCAUUUCGCCUUCAUAACCCUUGGCGUCAGCCUAGAUGAAAACUACACGAACAUGAAGUCUGGGGUGUACACAUUCCGAGCA